Molecule: non-coding RNA, 642 nt
Organism: Passer domesticus (house sparrow)
Lineage: Eukaryota; Metazoa; Chordata; Aves; Passeriformes; Passeridae
Source: the annotation of a RefSeq genome assembly
AUGGGCUGGUAUCGGCAGAGACCCGGGCAGGGGCUGGAAUACGUCGCAAGUAUCACCAACAAUGGUGGUUACACCAACUACGCGCCGUCGUUCAAGGGCCGGUUCACGAUCUCCAGGGACAACGGGCAGAGCUCGGUGACGCUGACCAUGAACAACCUCAAGGACGAGGAUUCCGGAUCCUAUUUCUGUGCCAAACAUUUUGGGCUCCGGGCGGCCGUGACCCUGCUGGAGUCCGGGGGGGACCUCCAGCCCCCCGGGGGGUCCCUGCGCCUCCUCUGCCGAGGGUCUGGCUUCGAUUUCGGACGAUUCAGUUUGAUGUGGAGUCGCCAGGGGCAGGGGAAGGGGCUGGAAUACGUUGCAGGGAUUGACAGCGAUGGAUACACCCGGUACCCGCCAUCGUUCAAGGGCCGGGUCAGGAUCUCCAGGGACAACGGGCAGAGCUCGGUGACGCUGACCAUGAACAACCUCAAGGACGAGGAUUCCGGAUCCUAUUUCUGUGCCAAAUCCACUGGUGCUGGUUGGACUGCUGGUGAUGCUGGUCUUGUUGACAACGGGGAUGGUGUCCUCACCACAUCUCCGAGUCCCCCCGUCCCCAGAGCCCAGACCCUUCCCCCAGACCCCAACCCCAGACCCAGCUCUUGA